Molecule: RNA transcript, 1052 nt
Organism: Enhydra lutris kenyoni (northern sea otter)
Lineage: Eukaryota; Metazoa; Chordata; Mammalia; Carnivora; Mustelidae
Gene name: inhibitor of DNA binding 3, HLH protein
Exons: 2
Source: RefSeq, a predicted model, not a curated record
CUAUUGGGGAUUUUUGGCUGUCUUCGUCCUUUCGGCACCUCCAGUCUCAUUCCUCAGUAUGAAGGCUCUGAGCCCGGUGCGCGGCUGCUACGAGGCGGUGUGCUGCCUGUCUGAACGCAGCCUGGCCAUCGCGCGCGGUCGCGGCAAAGGUCCGGCAGCCGAGGAGCCGCUGAGCCUGUUGGACGACAUGAACCACUGCUAUUCGCGCUUGCGGGAACUGGUCCCCGGAGUCCCGCGAGGCACUCAGCUUAGCCAGGUGGAAAUCCUGCAGCGCGUCAUCGACUAUAUCCUCGACCUGCAGGUGGUUCUGGCCGAGCCCGCCCCUGGACCCCCAGACGGCCCGCAUCUUCCCAUCCAGGUGUGUGGGAGCGUGCGCGGGAGCUGGGGCGGGGCUGAGUUCCAGAGCCAGGAUGCUGCCUGGACCCCUAAAACUCCCAAAUGCCGUGCAUAACUUUUCCCUCUUUCCUUUCUCUCAGACAGCUGAGCUCGCUCCGGAACUUGUGAUUUCCAAUGACAAGAGGAGCUUCUGCCACUGACCUGGCAGUCCUGGCACCUCCAGAACGCAGGUGCUGGCGCCCGUUCCGCCUGGGACCCCGGGACCCUCUACGGCCGGAAGCCCGAGGGCAUGGAUGGGCCCCAACCUCGCCCUGCCCACUUGACUUCCCCGAACCCCUGCCUCGAACCUGGACCUGGCGCCCGGGAGCGAAGGACUGUGAACUUGGGUGGCCUAAAGAGCCAGAGCUAGCUCUGGGCACCAGCUGGGCAAUGUCUCCCGGCCCCCACCCCACCCCUAAGUUUUAAAGUCUUUCUUUCACAGUGUGGAGGUUGGUGGGGGGGGUGGCUGCUCUCCAAAGUCUGCCAAGGCCGCAGUAGAGCUGGUCUUCUGGUCUCCUUGGAGAAAGGCUCUGUUGCCCUGAUUAUGAACUCUAUAAUAGAGUAUAUAGCUUUUGUACCUUUUUUGCAGGAAGGUGACUUUCUGUGACCAUGCAAUGUAUAUUAAACUUUUUAUAAAAGUUAACAUUUUGCAUAAUAAACGGUUUUUAAACACUUGA